RNAcentral lists this unclassified non-coding RNA (405 nucleotides) under soil metagenome. RNAcentral describes it as "partial contains 5.8S ribosomal RNA, internal transcribed spacer 2, and large subunit ribosomal RNA". The stretch from base 1 to 121 matches the Rfam family "5.8S ribosomal RNA", at positions 35 to 154 of the family's 154-position model. The record is from RNAcentral.
GAUGAAGAACGUAGCGAAAUGCGAUAAGUAAUGUGAAUUGCAGAAUUCAGUGAAUCAUCGAAUCUUUGAACGCACCUUGCGCCCUUUGGACAUUCCGAAGGGCAUGCCUGUUUGAGUAUCAUGAACACCUCAACUCUCACGGCUUGUCCGUGAUGAGCUUGGACUUUGGGGGUCUUGCCGGCCUGUGGUCGGCUCCUCUCAAAUGGAUCAGCUUGCCAGUGUUUGGUGGCAUCACAGGUGUGAUAACUAUCUGCGCUUGUGGUUUUCCAUCAGAUAACCUUCAGUGAUAUGGAGGUUCGCUGGAGCUCACAAAUGUCUCUCCUUAGUGAGGACAGCUCUUUGAACGUUUGAUCUCAAAUCAGGUAGGACUACCCGCUGAACUUAAGCAUAUCCAUAAGCGGAGGA